CUUUACCAGCGCGUUCUCUUUGGGUCUCUCAGUGACACAGGGGUUGGCAGACGCCGGACAUGACCGGGACUUCAUUCGGGGUGAAAUGUUCAGGCAAAUAAAGGUUAUCCAGGCACGCAAUGGACUUCCUGACAUCAACUAUCCAGGUGACAUCCUGGAUAGGCCUCUUCAAAGAUGGCCAAGGAAGUGCCCACAGGUGGACAGAUGGCUCAGCCCCCACCUACAUCAACUGGGACUCCAGGAAAUUGGAUGAUAAUAGAACCACCCCAGCCUGUGUUAUGAUGCUCUACCAGCGACACUGGAGCAACUCCUCUUGCAAAUCAGAGUCUCCCGUUUACAUCUGUGAGAAGAGGCAGAGCUGCUGACCUAGGCCCCUACCCCAUAAGAUUGACGUAAACCUCUUGUUGUGCAUCCUCAACCUCCAUCCCUGCCCUCUCUGGGCUCUGAAUCCCCAGAGGCAACAAUAAAGGACGUUUCUCCAAA
This is an RNA transcript of Pongo pygmaeus (Bornean orangutan), 483 nucleotides long. It is a transcript of the gene named C-type lectin domain family 4 member G-like, with no coding region annotated. Lineage: Eukaryota; Metazoa; Chordata; Mammalia; Primates; Hominidae. The record is from RefSeq and is a predicted model, not a curated record. The transcript has 3 exons.